GACGAACGCUGGCGGCGUGCUUAACACAUGCAAGUCGAACGGAAAGGCCCUGCUUUUGUGGGGUGCUCGAGUGGCGAACGGGUGAGUAACACGUGAGUAACCUGCCCUUGACUUUGGGAUAACUUCAGGAAACUGGGGCUCAUACCGGAUAGGAGCUCCUGCUGCAUGGUGGGGGUUGGAAAGUUUCGGCGGUUGGGGAUGGACUCGCGGCUUAUCAGCUUGUUGGUGGGGUAGUGGCUUACCAAGGCUUUGACGGGUAGCCGGCCUGAGAGGGUGACCGGCCACAUUGGGACUAAGAUACGGCCCAGACUCCUACGGGAGGCAGCAGUGGGGAAUAUUGCACAAUGGGCGGAAGCCUGAUGCAGCAACGCCGCGUGCGGGAUGACGGCCUUCGGGUUGUAAACCGCUUUCGCCUGUGACGAAGCGUGAGUGACGGUAAUGGGUAAAGAAGCACCGGCUAACUACGUG
RNAcentral lists this ribosomal RNA (468 nucleotides) under uncultured bacterium. RNAcentral describes it as "partial 16S ribosomal RNA". It matches the Rfam family "Bacterial small subunit ribosomal RNA", at positions 28 to 507 of the family's 1533-position model. The record is from RNAcentral.